GGUCAAGCUACAAAGGGCGCAUGGUGAAUGCCUUGGCAUCAGGAGCCGAUGAAGGACGCGAUAAGCUGCGAUAAGCUUCGGGUAGACGCACAUAGUCAGAGAUCCGAAGAUUUCCGAAUGAGGAAACUCACAUGGGAAACCCCAUGUAUCAUAAAGUGAAUACAUAGCUUUAUGAAGGUA
This 180-nucleotide ribosomal RNA is filed under the name Clostridium beijerinckii. RNAcentral describes it as "partial 23S ribosomal RNA". It matches the Rfam family "Bacterial large subunit ribosomal RNA", at positions 1 to 182 of the family's 2925-position model. Lineage: Bacteria; Bacillati; Bacillota; Clostridia; Eubacteriales; Clostridiaceae. The record is from RNAcentral.